AAUGCAAUUUUUUUGAUAAAAGAAUACCAGCAUAUUAAUAUAUGUGCGCACGAGUAUACGGUAAAUAUGGCCGCACGUUCUCUUUAACAUCUGAUGUGUUUCUGAACCAAUCUUGGAGAAAUCUGGAGUAGAUUUUAAUGUACCAUAGAAUACUCGUAUAUUUGCAAAAAACAAGAGCCUUUACAUUGUUGCUGUACUUUUAAUUGGGAUUUCUAUUUAUUUAAUUUUUAUGGUGUGAAUGGUGAAGAUUUCGACAGAGAUUCAGAUAGGCUUGUCGUGCGAUCCUACCUUUAUCUGUGGCUGGCAGCGUAUGCAACCGCAGGCUUGAUUUUUUUUUUGAUUUGUGGCUGACUGGCUGUUGGUAUGCCAAUGUUCUCCUUAUCGCUGAGAAUUGGAGAACAUUAUUUUUAGCGAUGUGUGAGUGGCCUUGCCGUCUGCCUUGGGUAUAAGACAAACACAAGCGGUAGACACUAGCCAUUCUUCUAGGAUUUCUCCGGUAGGAAAAUGUUGCUCCUCACUGUUAGUCGUGGGGCACAAAGCUGAAGCUGAGCCCAAAUGUCUACUGAUUUAACUUGAGGCAUACAGGAGUGUUGUCGCCAACACUGAAAAUUAAAAAUAUAUCUAGGUUUUUUUUUUUUUGCCAGAUUAUCAUUGCGAAUAUUAACUCUCCCUGAGCUAUUAGUAACUUGUAGAGUCAUUUUCCAUAUAGUCCAGCAAAGUCUAUCAAAAGUGGUCUUACGAGCGCUGAAGCGUUAGUUGAACGCUUCACCUUAAUUCUGCCCUUAUUCCAGUCAGUGGCACUGUCUCAUUUUCGCGUUGGCAGCGCCCUUAAAGUUUUAGCAGGAUCGCAUUGCUCGAUUUUUGAAUAAAAAAGCGUAAGGCUGUAGCUUCGAAAAUGAGUUUGAAAUAAACAAAUUUUAAUAUACCUAUCUGUAUACUCUAUACGAGAACUUUAACACCAUGUUUAAUCAAUUUUAUGGAAACGUGGCAAUUUAUCGAUCCUUUAAAAUAAUCACGAUCAGCACUGGCUAUAGGCGAACCUAAGUUUGUAAUGUUAAGUCUCCAGCUCUUAUAGUCUAUGAGAUCGAUGUAUUCAUAUAUACGGACCUACAGACAGACUGGAAUGGUUAGAACGGCUCGGUAUUGGCCAAGAAUAAAUGUAUAUGAUAUUCCUUUUUCUACACAUUAUCUUACUUUUUUAUCCAAGGGUAUACAAAUACGCCAUCCAAUUCCUAACCAAUUCCUUGUACAAUUCACAGAAUAUACAUUUUCCAAGUAUACUGCAAGCACAAUAGCGGCAUCAAGUAUUGUCGCAGCAAUGAAUCGACUUAAAUGCCAUCUUUGUACGGGUGAUAACAUACACAUAUUCUUCAGCUUUUUCACGGAUUUAACAAGUGUGGGACAGGAACAACUGCAUCAGUGCAUGAUACAAAUGGAAGUCUUAUAUAGUGACCAAAACCAUGAAAUAAAACCAUAUUUUCUCGGCAUUGACAAACAGCAACCAUUUAAUGCAUAUUAUAAUGGCCCAUAUCCCCAAAGUGAUCAGCAUCAUCAGAAGCGUCCGUUAAUGUCCGUUUUGCCCAAGAUCGCUCAAACUUGUAAACUGCAGGCACAUGCGCAAAAGGAUUUACAUGAAAUAAAAUUUUGAAAAUUAUUUAUACGCUUUUGCUAUUGUAUUUUAAUAUAUGCCUCCCAUGCUUCGGAUUUUUUUCACAGGCUGUCACCUGGACUUAUCUGACUAUAAAUAUAUAUGAUUAACGUCUAUAUAUCGAUAGCCUUAUAAAGUGAACUGUAUAUAUUUUUGUAAGCUAACCUAUAACGUAAUAUAUAAUUUAUAACUAGUAUGGAAACAAAUAUCAUAUUCAGUAAUGGUUUUAAGUACACGUACAUUGGACGUGAGACUAUUCUUUUUUUU
Drosophila montana is the source of this 1915-nucleotide long non-coding RNA. RefSeq lists it as uncharacterized. Lineage: Eukaryota; Metazoa; Arthropoda; Insecta; Diptera; Drosophilidae. The record is from RefSeq and is a predicted model, not a curated record. The transcript is spliced from 2 exons.